Molecule: ribosomal RNA, 481 nt
Filed under: uncultured bacterium
Lineage: Bacteria
Description: partial 16S ribosomal RNA
Rfam family: Bacterial small subunit ribosomal RNA
Source: RNAcentral
GAUGAACGCUGGCGGCGUGCUUAACACAUGCAAGUCGAACGAAGCACUUUAUUUGAUUUCCUUCGGGACUGAUUAUUUUGUGACUGAGUGGCGGACGGGUGAGUAACGCGUGGGUAACCUGCCUUGUACAGGGGGAUAACAGUUGGAAACGGCUGCUAAUACCGCAUAAGCGCACAGCAUCGCAUGAUGCAGUGUGAAAAACUCCGGUGGUAUAAGAUGGACCCGCGUUGGAUUAGCUAGUUGGUGAGGUAACGGCCCACCAAGGCGACGAUCCAUAGCCGACCUGAGAGGGUGACCGGCCACAUUGGGACUGAGACACGGCCCAAACUCCUACGGGAGGAAGCAGUGGGGAAUAUUGCACAAUGGGCGAAAGCCUGAUGCAGCGACGCCGCGUGAGCGAAGAAGUAUUUCGGUAUGUAAAGCUCUAUCAGCAGGGAAGAUAAUGACGGUACCUGACGAAGAAGCACCGGCUAAAUACGUG